This 577-nucleotide ribosomal RNA is filed under the name uncultured bacterium. Its description in RNAcentral is "partial 16S ribosomal RNA". It matches the Rfam family "Bacterial small subunit ribosomal RNA", at positions 355 to 920 of the family's 1533-position model. The record is from RNAcentral.
UGGGGAAUAUUGCACAAUGGGCGCAAGCCUGAUGCAGCCAUGCCGCGUGUGUGAAGAAGGCCUUCGGGUUGUAAAGCACUUUCAGCGAGGAGGAAGGUGGUGAACUUAAUACGUUCAUCAAUUGACGUUACUCGCAGAAGAAGCACCGGCUAACUCCGUGCCAGCAGCCGCGGUAAUACGGAGGGUGCAAGCGUUAAUCGGAAUUACUGGGCGUAAAGCGCACGCAGGCGGUUUGUUAAGUCAGAUGUGAAAUCCCCGGGCUCAACCUGGGAACUGCAUUUGAAACUGGCAAGCUAGAGUCUCGUAGAGGGGGGUAGAAUUCCAGGUGUAGCGGUGAAAUGCGUAGAGAUCUGGAGGAAUACCGGUGGCGAAGGCGGCCCCCUGGACGAAGACUGACGCUCAGGUGCGAAAAGCGUGGGGAGCAAAACAGGAUUAGAUACCCUGGUAGUCCACGCUGUAAAACGAUGUCGAUUUUGGAGGUUGUGCCCUUGAGGCGUGGCUUCCGGAGCUAACGCGUUAAAUCGACCGCCUGGGGAGUACGGCCGCAAGGUUAAAACUCAAAUGAAUUGACGGGGUC